UAACUAUUAUCGCUGAAUUUUUCAUUUGAAAAAGCGGGGGAACCAAUCGCGGACGGCAAAACAGCUUGUUCGCAUGGGGUGAAUCCGAAGCCAAUUCACUUCGGUAGGGUGUCUCUCUAGCCCGAAUCCGGCAGCUAACCUCGCAAGCGAAUUUGAGGAGAGAU
This 164-nucleotide small RNA is filed under the name Bacillus sp. (in: firmicutes). Its description in RNAcentral is "Bacillus sp. c-di-AMP sequence". It matches the Rfam family "c-di-AMP riboswitch aptamer (ydaO/yuaA leader)". From Rfam's summary of the family: This family represents a conserved RNA structure found upstream of the ydaO and yuaA genes in Bacillus subtilis and related genes in other bacteria. The ydaO/yuaA element is thought to act as a genetic "off" switch for the ydaO and yuaA genes in its native state. It is believed that the element may be triggered during osmotic shock leading to activation of ydaO, a predicted amino acid transporter gene, and members of the yuaA-yubG operon which code for KtrA and KtrB K+ transporters. Lineage: Bacteria; Bacillati; Bacillota; Bacilli; Caryophanales; Bacillaceae. The record is from RNAcentral. RNAcentral also lists the same sequence under 1 other name.